GUCCGCAGUCCCGGGGCGCUUGGAAGCCUAGGCAUCCUCGCGUACCUGUAGCAUACAUGUUGGGACCCGAAAGAUGGUGAUCUAUGCCUGGCCAGGUUGAAGUCAGGGGAAACCCUGAUGGAGGACCGCAGCGGUUCUGACGUGCAAAUCGAUCGUCUGAGCUGGGUAUAGCGGCGAAAGACUAAUCGAACCAUCUAGUAGCUGGUUCCCUCCGAAGUUUCCCUCAGGAUAGCUGAGAAGAGUACAGUCUCAUCCGGUAAAGCGAAUGAUUAGAGGUCUUGGGGUCGAAACGGCCUCAACCUAUUCUCAAACUUUAAAUGGGUGAGAUCCCCGGGUUGCUCGAAUGAACCCGGGGGGGAUGAGAACUUCUUUAGUGGGCCAUUUUUGGUAAGCAGAACUGCG
RNAcentral lists this ribosomal RNA (402 nucleotides) under Xestoblatta festae. RNAcentral's name for it is "partial 28S ribosomal RNA". It matches the Rfam family "Eukaryotic large subunit ribosomal RNA", at positions 751 to 1155 of the family's 3401-position model. Lineage: Eukaryota; Metazoa; Arthropoda; Insecta; Blattodea; Blattellidae. The record is from RNAcentral.